GACGAACGUUGGCGGCGUGCUUAACACAUGCAAGUCGAACGGAAAGGCCCUGCUUUUGUGGGGUGCUCGAGUGGCGAACGGGUGAGUAACACGUGAGUAACCUGCCCUUGACUUUGGGAUAACUUCAGGAAACUGGGGCUAAUACCGGAUAGGAGCUCCUGCUGCAUGGUGGGGGUUGGAAAGUUUCGGCGGUUGGGGAUGGACUCGCGGCUUAUCAGCUUGUUGGUGGGGUAGUGGCUUACCAAGGCUUUGACGGGUAGCCGGCCUGAGAGGGUGACCGGCCACAUUGGGACUGAGAUACGGCCCAGACUCCUACGGGAGGCGGCAGUGGGGAAUAUUGCACAAUGGGCGGAAGCCUGAUGCAGCAACGCCGCGUGCGGGAUGACGGCCUUCGGGUUGUAAACCGCUUUCGCCUGUGACGAAGCGUGAGUGACGGUAAUGGGUAAAGAAGCACCGGCUAACUACGUGCCAGCAGCCGCGGUGAUACGUAGGGUGCGAGCGUUGUCCGGAUUUAUUGGGCGUAAAGGGCUCGUAGGUGGUUGAUCGCGUCGGAAGUGUAAUCUUGGGGCUUAACCCUGAGCGUGCUUUCGAUACGGGUUGACUUGAGGAAGGUAGGGGAGAAUGGAAUUCCUGGUGGAGCGGUGGAAUGCGCAGAUAUCAGGAGGAACACCAGUGGCGAAGGCGGUUCUCUGGGCCUUUCCUGACGCUGAGGAGCGAAAGCGUGGGGAGCGAACAGGCUUAGAUACCCUGGUAGUCCACGCUGUAAACGGUGGGUACUAGGUGUGGGGUCCAUUCCACGGGUUCCGUGCCGUAGCUAACGCUUUAAGUACCCCGCCUGGGGAGUACGGCCGCAAGGCUAAAACUCAAAGGAAUUGACGGGGCCCCGCACAAGCGGCGGAGCAUGCGGAUUAAUUCGAUGCAACGCGUAGAACCUUACCUGGGUUUGACAUGGAUCGGGAGUGCUCAGAGAUGGGUGUGCCUCUUUUGGGGUCGGUUCACAGGUGGUGCAUGGCUGUCGUCAGCUCGUGUCGUGAGAUGUUGGGUUAAGUCCCGCAACGAGCGCAACCCUUGUUCACUGUUGCCAGCACGUUAUGGUGGGGACUCAGUGGAGACCGCCGGGGUCAACUCGGAGGAAGGUGGGGAUGACGUCAAGUCAUCAUGCCCCUUAUGUCCAGGGCUUCACGCACGCUACAAUGGCUGGUACAGAGAGUGGCGAGCCUGUGAGGGUGAGCGAAUCUCGGAAAGCCGGUCUCAGUUCGGAUUGGGGUCUGCAACUCGACCUCAUGAAGUCGGAGUCGCUAGUAAUCGCAGAUCAGCAACGCUGCGGUGAAUACGUUCCCGGG
Molecule: ribosomal RNA, 1343 nt
Filed under: uncultured bacterium
Lineage: Bacteria
Description: 16S ribosomal RNA
Rfam family: Bacterial small subunit ribosomal RNA
Source: RNAcentral